GUUGUUUUUUAUGCACUUGAUUACAUGUCUAUUUUCCUGUAUUGAUGUGUUAAAAAUGAUCUCUCUUUCGCUCUCUCAUUGUUUUCUCAGGGUGGAUAGUCUGGGCCAAGUGGGUGGUGGUGGCGGUUAACGCUACAGAGUUUGAGUACCUGGAAGGCAGCAUAUCCUCAGAGUGGGAUGGAAGCAAGGAAGCAGCCCCCUCCAUUGAAUAGCUGGUGAGGAACCAGAACUACAGGGAGCACACAGAAGGCGAGGGAGGUGGAGGAGAGAGAGAGCUGCUUCCUAAGGAGUACGAGGAGGGGCUGGUGGCUUGGCCUACUCAGACCAUAGUCGAGGGCCACGCCGCCUUCAGCUUCGGCCAGCCAGAGACCAGCGAGGAGCAUGUCAGAACAGCUAACAUAUUCCAGCCUGACUCCUGGACACCCACAGCCGAGAUAUACACACAGACACAAAAAAAACAACAGUAUUGCGAUACUGGAUUUUCCAGUGUAAAACAUAAAACCCGAAGCAGUCUGAACUCUUGUCUUUUAAAAACCUGCUGUUGUGUGAACUGUUUACGUUAUUAAGAAAUGUCUGCUUAUGUUUGGAUCCUUAUUUCCUUGCCAUGAUACUGGUACCUAACGCACACUAUGGUACACACACAAUACAGUAUAUACACGAAAUAGAACUUCACAAGUUACCUUCCAUCCUCGCCACCAUUGUUCAGUGACCCACCUGAAAAGACUGGUCAAUUGAAAGCAGCAAGGUAGAGGAAGGAAGCUUCAUAAUCCCUCUCCUUUAGUAUAGGGAACUUGGGGCUGGAAGGUAGACUGGAUUGUAUUCAUUAGUGCACACCUUAGCAAAAUGCUUGGCAAUGGAAACAGGUCAUUUCAAACAAGUUUGACGUAAGUGGUUUCCAACCGCAACACGUUUUAUUACGGUUUGCAGUAAUGAAUACAACAGACAUUAUGUAUACUAAUGGGAGCUCUCUUACAUGAAAAACCUUUUGUGUUGAAUCAGGGAAUACUUAAUAUAUAUAUGGCAUUCAUGGGGUGUAGAAGACACAUUUUCUGAUCUCCCCAACUAUAAAGGCUUUGUAUAUGAGUUGUGUUGUAGGUAAUCAAGGUAUAUUUGAUGAUUUUUUUGUGGAUUGUAAAUUAAACUACCAGGCUUGCGCAAACUGGGAUGUGAUGUAGUGCUGGCAAGUAGGUGGUAGUGUUUCUCAGUUGGUAGAUCAUGGCGAUUGCAAUGUCAUAAUGGUGGGUUUGAUUCCCGCUGGGGCCACCCAUAUAAAAAGGUAUGCACACACUAUUGUAAGUUGAUUUGGAUAAAGUGUUUGCCCAAAUGGCAUACAAAUAAAUAUUUUCAUUUUUUAUGUCUUUAC
Molecule: long non-coding RNA, 1363 nt
Organism: Oncorhynchus mykiss (rainbow trout)
Lineage: Eukaryota; Metazoa; Chordata; Actinopteri; Salmoniformes; Salmonidae
Source: RefSeq, a predicted model, not a curated record